RNAcentral lists this ribosomal RNA (730 nucleotides) under uncultured eukaryote. RNAcentral describes it as "SSU rRNA". It matches the Rfam family "Eukaryotic small subunit ribosomal RNA", at positions 670 to 1426 of the family's 1831-position model. The record is from RNAcentral.
CGCGUGUACUGGUCCGGCCGGGCCUUUCCUUCUGGAGAUCCCCAUGCCCUUCACUGGGUGUGUGGGGGAACCAGGACUUUUACUUUGAAAAAAUUAGAGUGUUCAAAGCAGGCCUUUGCUCGAAUACGUUAGCAUGGAAUAAUAGAAUAGGACGUGCGGUCCUAUUUUGUUGGUUUCUAGGACCGCUGUAAUGAUUAAUAGGGAUAGUCGGGGGCAUCAGUAUUCAAUUGUCAGAGGUGAAAUUCUUGGAUUUAUUGAAGACUAACUACUGCGAAAGCAUUUGCCAAGGAUGUUUUCAUUAAUCAGUGAACGAAAGUUAGGGGAUCGAAGACGAUCAGAUACCGUCGUAGUCUUAACCGUAAACUAUGCCGACUAGGGAUCGGGCGAUGUUUCUUUCUUGACUCGCUCGGCACCUUACGAGAAAUCAAAGUUUUUGGGUUCUGGGGGGAGUAUGGUCGCAAGGCUGAAACUUAAAGAAAUUGACGGAAGGGCACCCCCCGGGGUGGAGCCUGCGGCUUAAUUUGACUCAACACGGGGAAACUCUCCAGGUCCAGAUGAAAUAAGGAUUGACAGAUUGAGAGCUCUUUCUUGAUUUUUCAGGUGGUGGUGCAUGGGCCGUUCUAGUUGGUGGAGUGAUUAGUUGGCUUAAUUGCGAUAACGAAGGAGACCUCAACAUCCUAAAUAGCCAGCCUAGCUUUGGCUGUUGCCGGCUUGUUUGAGGGAGGAUCGG